Molecule: ribosomal RNA, 217 nt
Filed under: uncultured bacterium
Lineage: Bacteria
Description: partial 16S ribosomal RNA
Rfam family: Bacterial small subunit ribosomal RNA
Source: RNAcentral
AUUCUCAGUUCGGAUUGUAGGCUGAAACUCGCCUACAUGAAGCUGGAGUUACUAGUAAUCGCAGAUCAGAAUGCUGCGGUGAAUGCGUUCCCGGGUCUUGUACACACCGCCCGUCACACCACGGGAGUCGGAAAUGCCCGAAGUCAGUGACCCAACCGUAAGGAGGGAGCUGCCGAAGGUGGAGCCGGUAACUGGGGUGAAGUCGUAACAAGGUACC